GCGGAGCCCGGCGGAGCGAAAGAGCUAAGCGAUCCCGGCAGCACUGAAAGCCUGGUUCUCACCUCGACCUUGACGCGGUUGUCCUGCAGGGACCCCCAAAUCACUGCAGGGAGGGGAUAGUGCUGGAAUGCCUCCAGCUGAACAGGGCUGCUCCUGUGGCCUGACUGAGUGACAGAAGAUGCAAGAAUACUGGCUGCUUGUGACCUCCACGCAUGGACCUCCUCUGGCAGUCCUUGCAUUCCACUUUCCUCAAUCUACUCUGGGUGUUUCCUCUCCGUGUGUUGUAAAUCCCCCAAAGCCAAAUAUACCCGCAAAAGCAGGGGACACCCACGUAAAUGAUUAGCAAGGCCCCACUGAAGCGAAGUUGAAGCAAAGCUGACCUAAGGCAAAGGCAUCUCUGAAGGGUGGCUAACCAGCCGACCGUAUUUUUCUUAAAUGUACAUUGGGGUUUUACCUGCAUGUCUGUCUGUCUGAGGAUGCCAGAUUUCCUGGAGGAGCCAUAUGGGUGCCGGGAAUUCAACUCGGGCCCUUUGGAAAAGCGGCCAGAGUGGCCAGUGCUCUUAACCGCUGAGCUAUCUCUCCAGUCCCACUGACCAUAAUUUUUAACGUAUGAAUUAGGGUUGUCAGAUAAAAAUCCCAGGAUGCCCAGUUAAAUUUGACUUUCAGACAGGCAAUGAAUAAUGUUUUACUGUAAAUUUAUUGCAUGAAAUAUUUGAUAAAAGAAUGUCUGAGAUAUUACAGAGCAGACAAUAAAAAUUAUUUAUUGUCUAAAAUACAAA
Molecule: non-coding RNA, 779 nt
Organism: Peromyscus maniculatus bairdii (prairie deer mouse)
Lineage: Eukaryota; Metazoa; Chordata; Mammalia; Rodentia; Cricetidae
Source: RefSeq, a predicted model, not a curated record